Molecule: small nuclear RNA, 167 nt
Organism: Chiloscyllium plagiosum (whitespotted bambooshark)
Lineage: Eukaryota; Metazoa; Chordata; Chondrichthyes; Orectolobiformes; Hemiscylliidae
Product: U1 spliceosomal RNA
Source: RefSeq, a predicted model, not a curated record
GUACUUACCUGGAAAGGGAGAAACCAUGAUCAUGAAAGUGGUUCUCCUAGGGUGAGGAUAUCCCAUUGUACUUUGGUUGUGCUGACAGCUGCAAUGUCCCUAAACAUGGGAUACAGUACUCACAUCCAAAAUUUGUGGUACUGGAGAACUGUGCUCGUGGCCUCUGA